This is a non-coding RNA of Thalictrum thalictroides, 85 nucleotides long. NCBI's taxonomy places the organism in Eukaryota, Viridiplantae, Streptophyta, Magnoliopsida, Ranunculales, Ranunculaceae. The record is from the annotation of a GenBank genome assembly.
UUUGAAUGUGAUGAUAGACUCAAACAUCUUAUCAGAGGCUCAAAUUUGUGCUCUGCUGAUUGUUUUGCACGUCAGUCUGAUCAAU